CGGAAAGUGGCGCACGGGUGCGUAACGCGUAUGCAACCUACCUUAAUCAGGGGGAUAGCCCGAAGAAAUUCGGAUUAACACCGCAUAAAAACACAGGAUAGCAUUAUCCAAUGUUCAAAUAUUUAUAGGAUUAAGAUGGGCAUGCGUGUCAUUAGCUAGUUGGCGGGGUAACGGCCCACCAAGGCGACGAUGACUAGGGGAUCUGAGAGGAUGACCCCCCACACUGGUACUGAGACACGGACCAGACUCCUACGGGAGGCAGCAGUAAGGAAUAUUGGUCAAUGGAGGCAACUCUGAACCAGCCAUGCCGCGUGCAGGAAGACAGCCCUCUGGGUCGUAAACUGCUUUUAUUCGGGAAUAAACCUAUCUACGUGUAGAUAGCUGAAUGUACCGAAGGAAUAAGGAUCGGCUAACUCCGUGCCAGCAGCCGCGGUAAUACGGAGGAUCCAAGCGUUAUCCGGAUUUAUUGGGUUUAAAGGGUGCGUAGGCGGCUUAUUAAGUCAGGGGUGAAAGACGGUGGCUCAACCAUCGCAGUGCCCUUGAUACUGAUGAGCUUGAAUACACUAGAGGUAGGCGGAAUGUGACAAGUAGCGGUGAAAUGCAUAGAUAUGUCACAGAACACCGAUUGCGAAGGCAGCUUACUAUGGUGUGAUUGACGCUGAGGCACGAAAGCGUGGGGAUCAAACAGGAUUAGAUACCCUGGUAGUCCACGCCCUAAACGAUGAAUACUCGCUGUUAGCGAUACACAGUUAGCGGCUAAGCGAAAGCGUUAAGUAUUCCACCUGGGGAGUACGCUCGCAAGAUG
RNAcentral lists this ribosomal RNA (805 nucleotides) under Pedobacter sp. TAP3-7_Pa. RNAcentral describes it as "bacterial SSU rRNA". It matches the Rfam family "Bacterial small subunit ribosomal RNA", at positions 89 to 896 of the family's 1533-position model. Lineage: Bacteria; Pseudomonadati; Bacteroidota; Sphingobacteriia; Sphingobacteriales; Sphingobacteriaceae. The record is from RNAcentral.